Molecule: ribosomal RNA, 481 nt
Filed under: uncultured bacterium
Lineage: Bacteria
Description: partial 16S ribosomal RNA
Rfam family: Bacterial small subunit ribosomal RNA
Source: RNAcentral
GAUGAACGCUGGCGGCGUGCUUAACACAUGCAAGUCGAACGAAGCAUUUAAGACAGAUUACUUCGGUUUGAAGUCUUUUAUGACUGAGUGGCGGACGGGUGAGUAACGCGUGGGUAACCUGCCUCAUACAGGGGGAUAGCAGCUGGAAACGGCUGGUAAUACCGCAUAAGCGCACAGUACCACAUGGUACAGUGUGAAAAACUCCGGUGGUAUGAGAUGGACCCGCGUCUGAUUAGCUUGUUGGCGGGGUAACGGCCCACCAAGGCGACGAUCAGUAGCCGACAUGAGAGGGUGACCGGCCACAUUGGGACUGAGACACGGCCCAGACUCCUACGGGAGGCAGCAGUGGGGAAUAUUGCACAAUGGAGGAAACUCUGAUGCAGCGACGCCGCGUGAGUGAAGAAGUAGUUCGCUAUGUAAAGCUCUAUCAGCAGGGAAGAGAGUGACGGUACCUGACUAAGAAGCUCCGGCUAAAUACGUG